GCUUCUGUUGAAACACCGGUUGCAUCAACAUCCUGCAAGUGCUUUGUUCGAAUUUCAGCUCUUAUUUGUCUCGGUGAUGCAGGAACCCUUUCUUUUCCACUUGCAUGGACCGAUUGUUGUCUUUUUACUGGAGAUUUAGGUGUUAAAACACCCAAAUCAAAUGAUGGAAUAUCGCCUACUUUUUGUCGUUUGGGAGUAAUAUGUUUUUUCACCAUUUUUGACUAUGGAUAAGAUUUUUUUCACCGAAUAUGUGUUUUCUUUACUAAACUUUGAAGAGUUUUUGGAUGUUGAAUGAUGAAUUGAAGAGGAUGACAAUGGAGAGAAGAAGUGAGACCAGAGAAAUCGGUAAAGGUAAAUGUAAAUAAACGUGGGGGUGGGGGGUGGGAGUAGUUUUUAUUGGGAAAGCUGAUCGGUUUGGGAAGAAAGAGAAAAAUCGACAAAAAUAAACGUGGGGGUAAUUAAUAAG
This 466-nucleotide long non-coding RNA is filed under the name Nicotiana benthamiana. Its description in RNAcentral is "long non-coding RNA (NBEN_LNC040606)". The record is from RNAcentral. Lineage: Eukaryota; Viridiplantae; Streptophyta; Magnoliopsida; Solanales; Solanaceae.